Numida meleagris (helmeted guineafowl) is the source of this 1762-nucleotide long non-coding RNA. Lineage: Eukaryota; Metazoa; Chordata; Aves; Galliformes; Numididae. The record is from Ensembl.
GGCGGGCACAGCCUCAGCGCUGCUGCAGCCCCCGGGACACGUGGUGACCUCAGCAAGGGCAGCACCUGCAGCCUGGCACCCACACCUUUUUUUGCUGCCUGCUGCCACAGUGGAUUGCAGGGGCUCUGAGGACUCAAAAACAUUUGGCUGUGGCAUGACUCCCCCCAGGAGUUCUGCCCUCAGCUACGUCCUAUGGACAGCACUGCCCAGAAGUGGUGGGAGCGUCAAGGUUUCCUAUUCCCUCAAAGACACCAGCAACGUUGUCUCGGCUGAGCAGAGCAACACUUGCAGAUGAGCACAUCACCAAACCCUACCAAGAGGAAAGAGCUCUUGUUUUUGGGAAGGAUGGGACAAAAACUGCUCUUGAGGCCUCGGCUGUGCCCACCAAGCAGAGCCCCGCCACCUGCCAGCCCCUGCCAUGCCAGCACGGAGCCUGUCAUGCUGCUCUGCUCCCACUUCCCCAUGCCGCAGGGAGACAGAUGGCGCAGAGGAAUUGCAACCAGCUCCUGGGCAGCCUCACUCAAGGAACGUUUGCAGUGACAGAGGAGCAGACUGAAAGAAAGGCAUCAUACAGCAAGAUUUUGAUAAAUUUUGCAGAAUACCCAGUGACCUUUAAUACCAAGGAAUUGGGGAGCAGAUUGGCAGGGGAUGUAUAGAGCAAACAUUUUGCUUCGUGCGCCGUCUAUGCAGCAGGAAUGUUGAACAAUUGCAGACUGCCCACCCUCCUGUCAUUUAAAAGUUCAGCUGUUUUCCCUGUGAAUCACAAGGUGCUGAACUUGCCUACCAGCCCAGGGCAGCGAUGUAGCAGCGGGCUGAGCCCUGCACAAAGUCCCACUGCCUUAUCAGUGCUCUCCAAACACCCAUGUCCAUUAGUGGAUCACAAUGCAGGACUGGGAUUUUUGUGCUGUCUGCCAUGAAGUAGACUUACUUCCAUUAGAAAUGCUACAGCUGUGAAUCCAAGAAAGAUUAGCCUGUGUUUACAGGGGAGAAGAAAUGAAAAAGCUGAAUGGAUGUUUCUGUCAUGCCCAGAGCUCUGAGCAUGGCAAGCACCUAUAGAGGCUGCAACCCAGAGCCAAAGAAAACAUCCUCUAUAUUACUCAGCUUCUUACCAUGGAAGCAUUUAACAUGUGAAAUGUAUUACAUUCAUAGUAAAGCAAGUCCAGACUGAUCCACUUUUACACAGGACAAAGAGUUCACAAAUGGCAAAUUCCCACUCUGCAAACCUCCCAGAAGCUGUAGAAAAAGAAAAGAUGUCUCAGACAGGUGGUCCGAUAGAUCACCAUCCAGAUGGAACUGAAAGCACCCCAUGGCUUUGGGGAUAGAGAUGCGUAGCCUUAACUAUACUAAAUGUUAAGUUCUCCACAGCCAGAACAUACUCAUAACAAAUGGGGAUCCCUGCUGAAACCGUAACAAAGGAGCAUCUAGCUGCAAAGCACACAAAGCAAGACCCCACAGAAGAUGAGCAGAGGAAACUUGCGGUGUUCGACUGCACAAGCAGCAGGGACACUCAUUGCCCAAACCGCCCCAGCUCCAAUGAAGGAGCUGGACUCAUUUCUCCCAGUUGAGUCCAUCUUUCUCUUGAAAAUGCAUGAAGAGCCUUCCUAACAAAUCAUCCCCUUCCUUGUGAAAUUGCUUAAUCAAGAUUUCCCCAUGCAGCUGGCUUAUUUGCAUCCUUCCUAUUGCAUUAAUAUAUGCAAACGGAUGGCACUGCUGAUGCAAGCAAAGGAAUAAAAGGUCACUGAAGCAAGUUUAAUUAAAAAGA